AGCGGCGCACGGGCUGAGUAACGCGUGGGUGAUCUACCUUCNAGCUGGGGAAUAACACCGGGAAACUGGUGCUAAUACCGCAUAACAUCCUCGGCUUCGUUCCGAGGAUCANAGCUGGGGACCGCAAGGCCUGGCGCUUGAUGAGGAGCCCGCGUCCGAUUAGCUUGUUGGCGGGGUAAUGGCCCACCAAGGCUUCGAUCGGUAGCCGGCCUGAGAGGGCGGACGGNCACACUGGAACUGAGACACGGUCCAGACUCCUACGGGAGGCAGCAGUGGGGAAUUUUUGUCAAUGGGGGAAACCCUGAACAAGCAACGCCGCGUGGAGGAUGAAGGCCCUCGGGUCGUAAACUCCUGUCGAUCGGGAAGAAUGCACUCGGCCCAAUACGCCGUUGUGUUGACUGUACCGGUGGAGGAAGCCACGGCUAACUCUGUGCCAGCAGCCGCGGUAAGACANAGGUGGCAAGCGUUGUUCGNAAUUACUGGGCGUAAAGGGCGCGCANGCGGCCCGUCAAGUCCCGUGUGAAAGCCCCCGGCUCAACUGGGGAACUGCGCGGGAAACUANCGGACUUGAGUUCGGGANAGGGAAGCGGAAUUCCGGGUGUANCGGUGAAAUGCNCACAUAUCCGGAGGA
RNAcentral lists this ribosomal RNA (631 nucleotides) under uncultured bacterium. RNAcentral describes it as "bacterial SSU rRNA". It matches the Rfam family "Bacterial small subunit ribosomal RNA", at positions 94 to 705 of the family's 1533-position model. The record is from RNAcentral.